Molecule: ribosomal RNA, 301 nt
Filed under: uncultured bacterium
Lineage: Bacteria
Description: partial 16S ribosomal RNA
Rfam family: Bacterial small subunit ribosomal RNA
Source: RNAcentral
CAGUAGCCACGGGAAUACGGAGGGUGCGAGCGUUAAUCGGAAUAACUGGGCGUAAAGGGCACGCAGGCGGUGACUUAAGUGAGGUGUGAAAGCCCCGGGCUUAACCUGGGAACUGCGCUUGUGACUGCACAGCUAGAGUAUGGCAGAGGGGGGUGGAAUUCCACGUGUAGCAGUGAAACGCGUAGAGAUGUGGAGGAACACCGAUGGCGAAGGCAGCCCCCUGGGCCAAUACUGACGCUCAUGCACGAAAGCGUGGGGAGCAAACAGGAUUAGAUACCCGAGUAGUCCCUGUCUCUUAUAC